GCAUAACGCGAAGAACCUUACCAGCCCUUGACAUGUCCAGGACCGGUCGCAGAGAUGUGACCUUCUCUUCGGAGCCUGGAGCACAGGUGCUGCAUGGCUGUCGUCAGCUCGUGUCGUGAGAUGUUGGGUUAAGUCCCGCAACGAGCGCAACCCUCGCCCUUAGUUGCCAUCAUUCAGUUGGGCACUCUAAGGGGACUGCCGGUGAUAAGCCGAGAGGAAGGUGGGGAUGACGUCAAGUCCUCAUGGCCCUUACGGGCUGGGCUACACACGUGCUACAAUGGCGGUGACAAUGGGAUGCAAAGGCGCGAGCCCUAGCAAAUCUCAAAAAGCCGUCUCAGUUCGGAUUGGGCUCUGCAACUCGAGCCCAUGAAGUUGGAAUCGCUAGUAAUCGUGGAUCAGCAUGCCACGGUGAAUACGUUCCCGGGUCUUGUACACACCG
Molecule: ribosomal RNA, 439 nt
Filed under: uncultured bacterium
Lineage: Bacteria
Description: bacterial SSU rRNA
Rfam family: Bacterial small subunit ribosomal RNA
Source: RNAcentral